RNAcentral lists this long non-coding RNA (1369 nucleotides) under Numida meleagris (helmeted guineafowl). Its description in RNAcentral is "lncRNA (ENSNMEG00000005722.1)". Lineage: Eukaryota; Metazoa; Chordata; Aves; Galliformes; Numididae. The record is from RNAcentral.
GUUGCAGUGGCGGGUGUUUUGCCCAGUUAAGCAAGUGAGCAAUGUUGUGUUGCUGGUUGACAUGUACAGCAGAGCAAGAUAGAUUGAAGGAAGACGUUGAAACCUUGUUUAUGUUGGCAGCAGGUGAGGUUGCGAAAAAGCCCUAAGAGAAAGUAACAAACAAAGGGUGUGUCUGGAGGGAGGCUGAAUUCACAAACCUUUGCACAACCCGUAGGCAACACGUGCAAAAGCCAGGUGAUUCAGAGCUGCUUUUCCUACGCUCCUGUGACCUAAAUCCUCCAACAACAGGGACUCCUGUGUGCAGGCAUGAGAAGCACCUGGCCUCUGACUGCCAUCAGACAGCCUUUCUCCCAUCUUGCGUGGCCCAGAUGAGAUCACACCAUGAUGCUGACUCAGUGCUACAGAAAGGAGUUGCGUCAUGAAGCCCUGAUGAGGCGAGAUGAUGCUGUGAUGUCAGGAAGGUGGAAUCUGCGUAUCCUGCUGGAAUGAACAGACAAACACCAAGCUGAGCUCCUCUGUCAUCCCCAGCGUUCUUGGAUCUUUUUGCCAUCUUGUUUGUGAUUCAAUCUUUUGAGGCAACCUGGUGUUUGUAUGGUGGUUUUUUUUUUCCCACGAUUGAAAGAUGUUCUCAUCUGCACAUUAUUCCUUGUCUGAAUUUCCACAGGUAGCGUCUAGACAGAUAUCACUGCUCUGAGAGAAAGACGAGUGGAAAAGCAACCUUUUUACUCCUGCAUAUCUAAGAAGCUUUUCUGGGAGGGAGAAAGUACACUCUCUCCUUUGAACAACACACUGACUAUCUAAAAUCAGACCAUGGUAGAGGCAAGCAGGGACACAGUGUGUAGGAAAUACAAUAUUCAGGUAGGGCAGCCAACACAGCGUUCCGCUGUGCCUUAGUCCACAUAAAUCAGCUAGACGUCUCACAGGCAGAACACUACAAAAAAGGUCUCCAGAAAGCACUCCAACACAGAGAAAGCAGAACUUUAUGAAUCAGCUCCGUGUACAUUGAGGUCAGCAAGGAGGAAGGCAGAAGGAUAUUAACAUAAGCAGGGUCAUUUAUUAAAGGCUGAAGCUCCAAAAAAGAAGGGCAGGGAUUGUUGAUUUCAGAGAUCAUGUGCAACAACUGCCAGAAAGGGACUUCCCUCCUCUGCUUCUGACCUCCACUCGUACUUUUACUGUUCUGUUUUAUAUCUAUAUGUUGAGGCUCCCAAACCCUCAGAGCUGCGUUCCUCUGCAAUAUUUUUAUGUAAUGCAUUUAUUUUAACAGCUUCCCUACAUGGACUGUGUGCAGUUCUUUGGGGACAAGGCCAUUUUUCAAAGUUAGUGCUGCAGAGACAAUAAAAAAGAGUUAAAACAGAUUAGAGUUUUGACU